CCUACGGGUGGCAGCAGUGGGGAAUAUUGCACAAUGGGGGAAACCCUGAUGCAGCGACGCCGCGUGAGUGAAGAAGGAGUUCGGGAUGUAAAGCUCUAUCAGCAGGGAAGAAGAAAGACGGGACCUGACUAAGAAGCCCCGGCUAACUACGUGCCAGCAGCCGCGGUAAGACGUAGGGGGCAAGCGUUAUCCGGAUUUACUGGGUGUAAAGGGAGCGUAGCCGGCUGUGCAAGUCUGAAGUGAAAGCCCAGGGCUCAACCCUGGGACUGCUUUGGAAACUGUGGAGCUAGAGGGCUGGAGAGGUAAGUGGCAUUCCUAGUGUAGCGGUGAAAUGCGUCGAUAUUAGGAGGAACACCAGUGGCGAAGGCGGCUUACUGGACAGUAACUGACGUUGAGGCUCGAACGCGUGGGGAGCAAACAGGAUCAGAUACCCCUGUAGUC
RNAcentral lists this ribosomal RNA (441 nucleotides) under uncultured bacterium. RNAcentral describes it as "partial 16S ribosomal RNA". It matches the Rfam family "Bacterial small subunit ribosomal RNA", at positions 338 to 795 of the family's 1533-position model. The record is from RNAcentral.